AUUAUUUGCAACUGCCAUGGAUGUUUACAGGAACCCAGCCAGAGUUUGCCUCCCUGCACUUCAUCCCAGAGCGCACCUGCUUCCUCCACUUCACCUUCGGAGAGGACACUUCAAACUGCGGACACACGCAAAAGCAACUCCCAGCUCUGUUUGAUGUUACUCGUUCCUCAGCAAGUUGGCAAAACAGAUAUCAUGCUGGCAAUUGAAAAGCUGCAGGCGGGUGCUCUUGCAACUGACGCAGUCACUGCAGCACUGGUGGAACUUGAGAUCUGUUUGAGGAGAUGGUGCCUGUGUCAGUGUGGCAGUCUUUGGCUGCCUGUGAUCAGAGGAAAGCCGAUUUGUUAACAGAUCAAUUGCUCAGAUGAGAGAAGCCACCACUUUGGCAAAUGGAGUGCUAGCUUCCCUUAAUCUUCCAGCAGCAAUUGAAGAUGUGUCUGGAGACACUGUACCUCAGUCUAUAUUGACUAAAUCAAGAUCUGUGAUUGAACAGGGAGGCAUCCAGACUGUUGAUCAGUUGACUAAAGAACUGCCUGAAUUACUGCAAUGAAAUAGAGAAAUCCUAGAUGAGUCAUUAAGGUUUUUGGAUGAAGAAGAAGCAACCGAUAAUGAUUUAUGAGCAAAAUUUAAGGAACGCUGGCAAAGGACAUCAUCCAAUGAACUGUAUAAGCCUUUAAAAGCAGAGGGAACCAGCUUCAGAACAGUUUUAGAUAAAGCUGUGCAAGCAGAUGGAC
RNAcentral lists this long non-coding RNA (731 nucleotides) under Homo sapiens (human). RNAcentral describes it as "non-protein coding lnc-APBA2-9:2". The record is from RNAcentral. Lineage: Eukaryota; Metazoa; Chordata; Mammalia; Primates; Hominidae.